GGUAACACAACAAGGGCUGCCCAAGAACGUGAACGGAUAUUGAAUGUUCAGAAAUUAUAAUAGAUAAAUUUCAUUGGCGAUUUCUGAAAGUCACCGCAGUCUUUUCUAGUAAUAACCACCAAUCAACAAUCUGCAAAAACCUUACAAGAAAACACUGAGCUACUUGAAGAAAAGUGGGCUCCACACCCAACAUGGAGCCCAUCAUGGUGCUCGAACUCGUAACCCUGAGAUGGAGACGUGAGCUGAGACCAAGAGUCAGACACUUCACCCACAGAGCCCCCUAGCCGUCCCAUGCUA
Long non-coding RNA from Suricata suricatta (meerkat), 297 nucleotides. RefSeq lists it as uncharacterized. Lineage: Eukaryota; Metazoa; Chordata; Mammalia; Carnivora; Herpestidae. The record is from RefSeq and is a predicted model, not a curated record. The transcript has 3 exons.